GCUGGGUUCGGUGGCGUGUGCCUGUAGUCCCAGUUACUCAGGAGGCUGAGGCUGGAGGAUCGCUUGAGCCCAGGAGUUCUGGGCUGUACUGCGCUAUGCCGAUCAGGUGUCCGCAGUAAGUUCGGCAUCAAUAUAGUGACCUCCCAGGAGCAGGCGACCACCAGGUUGCCUAAGGAGGGAUGAACCGCCAAGGUCGGAAAUGGAGCAGGUCAAAGCUUGCGUGCUGAUCAGUAGUGGGAUUGCGCCUGUGAAUAGCCACUGCACUCCAGCCUGGGCACCAUAGCGAGACCCCGUCUCU
This 298-nucleotide signal recognition particle RNA is filed under the name Saimiri boliviensis boliviensis (Bolivian squirrel monkey). Its description in RNAcentral is "Metazoan signal recognition particle RNA (ENSSBOG00000003137.1)". It matches the Rfam family "Metazoan signal recognition particle RNA". Rfam says of the family: The signal recognition particle (SRP) is a universally conserved ribonucleoprotein. It is involved in the co-translational targeting of proteins to membranes. The record is from RNAcentral. Lineage: Eukaryota; Metazoa; Chordata; Mammalia; Primates; Cebidae.